RNAcentral lists this ribosomal RNA (375 nucleotides) under Triticum aestivum (bread wheat). RNAcentral describes it as "partial small subunit ribosomal RNA". Lineage: Eukaryota; Viridiplantae; Streptophyta; Magnoliopsida; Poales; Poaceae. The record is from RNAcentral.
AUGAAUUUUCUUUUAGCAAACAUUGACAAAUUUUUGAUUGCUUGCAAAGUUUCCACAUCGGAUGACAUUCGUGAAAAACGUGGUGACAAAAACGAUGCUCCAAAAGCUUUUGAAGCAUCAUUUUUGUUUUUCUGCCAUGUCUUCCACGAAUGUCAUUUCGUGAUGAAACCUUGCCAGAGAGGCUGGCCGAUCGAAUGGGCGGGAUGUGGCUGUCAAGGUGCUGCUACGAUGUCUCAACUGCGAGCCCGAGCUCACAACAGAGGAAUGGCGGUAUGGCAUCAUGAUGAUCAGCACAAAGCCGGCUGCGAGCCACGCAAGAGCUAUUUGGGCGACAAAAAAAAAGAACAAUGGUACAUGUGCUUGUUGGCACGUUAG